GCGCGGAGCUGGCGGGUCGGCGCGCGCGCGCGUUUCUCCCCUUUCUGCCCAACUCUGACCUUGAGGGAGACAAUAAAAGAGGGUCAGAGCGCGCGCCUGGGGCAAGCCGAGCCACCGAGAGCCUUCUGCAGGUGUGUGAGGGCAAGUCUUGCGGCCCGGAGUGUUUACUGUGUCCCGCUUUAUGGAGCUGAGUGAGUUCCUGCGCACAACCAGCCUGGAGCUGUGCACGCGCAGGGUUUGGACGGAAAGAUGCAGGUCUGGAUCCCUGAUCAGAUGGAGGCCUCAGUGUGGAGAUUAAAACAAAUAAGGACCAAAGAUGGAAGGGUCUGUAUUGUCCCCUUGUCUUCACUACGGACAUCCUCAUGGCUGUUCUGUGCGACAGAGAACCCUAAGAAAUGGUGACCAGUCUACACUGCUCAUGUCAUCUCUGAUUAUAAGAGCGAGCUCAGAUGCUUUUCCUUACAUCUACUCCAUAGCUGACACUGCACACAAUGGCAUGCUAAAACGUUACCUACACUGCUGGCACUCUGACCAAAGCUACUGAUGAACACUUUUAAGUAAUUUUUAAGCAGAACUAAUAAGUUACUCUGCACAUCCCUCCUUCAACAGUUCUUCUCGACAUAGCUGGAUUUGAGCUCUUUGAGUUAUGAGCAGUUGUGCAUCAGUUUCACAACUGACAAGCUGCAGCAGUUUUUUUUAAACCAGCACAUGUUCAUCUUGGAGCAGGAUGAAUAUAACAGAUGGCACUGAAUAGACUUUUAUUGACUUUGGCUUAGACCUACACUGACCUCAUUGAGUAGGAGAAUUGUAACAAGCUGAUGGCCAACCUGAUGAGCACUCAGUCUCACUUUGUAUGCUGUAGCAUUUCUGUAAUGCGGACCUACAGUACAAGUACUACUUGAGACUAAUCUACUGAAUCUUGAACGCUUCCACAAUUCCAAAAGACAAGUGGACAAUGAGACAAUGAGGCUGCAGAGAAACUUCUAAGCUGGCUGGAUAUUGAUCCCAUGCAAUACAGAGGAAAUCACUGACCUGAGUAUGUGGUUUGGUUAAGCAGGCAAGACAUUCUGUUAGAGCAAAUGUAAAAGUCUCUGGAUUAAGAGUGACAUCCAGGCAGCACUGGAGAAACCUCUUUGGUUGCAGAGGUCAGAGGAUGAAGAUGACAAAGGAAGACCUGCAUGAAAUGGUGUUUCAGCUUGACUAUGGAAAAAACAAAACAAAACAAAAAACAGGUAGCUGAAUCACAAAAACUAACUUACUACCUACAAAGUAGUCAUUUCUCUUACUUACCUUCAACACUGAAGUUACAUGACACCAGCUAUAUCAGUUAACUAUAAUCAGCAAAAAAAAAAAUUGUCCUCUCACAUUCACAUGCUUUUAUUUCCAGCAAAUGUCUUAACAUGUGCAAAUAUUUGUAUUAAUAUAAAAACAACUGAGACAUGUGAACAAGUUUCACAGACAUUUGACAAACAGAAAUGGAAUAAUGAAUCCCUGAACAAAGGUCGGGGGGGGGGGGGGGGGGGGGGGUGUCAAUAUCAAAAGUAACAGUCAGUAUGUGGUACUACAGUGCAUCUCAUCCUCAUGGACUGCACCAGAUUCUUGCUGUGAGAUGUUACUCCACUCUCCCACCAAGGCAUUUACAAGUUCUCAAUCACGUCUGGGUGGACACAUGGUUACACGUGGUUUGCCACUGCAAGGACAAUCAGCUGUCCUUCCUGUCUCUCUGUAGCACUGUCUUAGGCAUCUUACAUUACAGACAUUGCAGUUUAUUGGUUUAUUGCUCUGGACACAUCUGCAGUCCUGAUGCCUCCCUGCAGCAGGUCUAUGGCAUGUUCACGCAGGUGAGCAGGAACCCUAGGCAUCUUUUAUCUGGUGCUUUUCAGAGUCAGUAGAAAGGUCUCUUUAGUGUCUUAAGUUAUUGUAGUUGUGACCGUAAUUGCCCACCUCCUGUAAACUGUUAGUGUCUUAAAGAUUGUUCCACAGGUGCAUGUGUAAUAAUUGUUUAUGGUUCAUUGAACAAGCAUGAUUAAGAUCUGUAAAGUUUAUUUGGAUUUUACAAAAUGAUCUUUAAAAUACAACCUCUGAAAAAGGGACAUUUCUUUUUUUGCUGAGUAUAUAUUAACUAAAAUGAAGGGAUCCAUCCAAUAUCAACAUAUAUCUUUAUCUUUUUUAUAUCUUAUCUAUAAAUAAGCAAGACACAUGAAGGCCAAGUAGCAUGAAUAAACAAAGGGAACGGAGCUUGGUGAAUCUCUGCAUCAGUGUGAAAAUCUCAAGAAACAAGUGGCAGUAACAGAUCACUGUAACAUCUUGCUGGCUCCCAAACUGGAAAAGCUCCAAACUAAUUGAAUAAAUCGGCCAAAUGUGCAAAGCCUCCUGGAAUAUUUUACAUGCACAGAUGAUCAGACAAUACUGAUCAGUCUGUGCACUGAUAGUUGACUGUGUGCCGAACCAGAAAAAGGUUCUGGGAAGUGAUAUCUCAAUGCUGGCAGUGAUGCAAGGAUUUCUUUAAUGCCCAUGAGAAGGACAAGAAGCCCUACAAGCUGAGGAGUUAGUGUGAAGAAUAGUGUCUCAUCUUAAAGCAUUCUGUCUUGCUUGCAUUACAUAUCUCAACACAGACACUGUUCAUAUUGGUCCACAUCACUGAGCAAGUGCAGGCUGCUUUGAUUGUAUAUAAGGUGGAAGGAAAGGACAAUACCGACAUGACCAGCUUCAGAAAGAUCCACCACAGUGCAGAGGAGGGCAUACAUGGACGGGCUCGUCCAUCUAGCCAGCCGACUGUGCCUUUGCAUAAAAGAGACGCAUUAUCAAGCGAUGAGUGCUCCUAUAUUUAGAGCAGGUGACUUUACACAGUGAUGAAGCAUGCUCCUGAUUACAUUUUUGGUUUACUGUGGACAAGGAUUCUUAAUAUGGAGUUUACAUGUUAGCAAUGGAGACAGAAAAAGAUAACAGCUUAUGUGGUACAGAGUAGAUCAAGAUGUUUUUCAAAACUCCCCAGAUGUUUCCCUGGAUGCCCAAGUCCAGAAAUGACUAGAAAUUCUAAAUAAAGCAAACUAAAGAUAAUUAUUGGCUUAAUGUAUAAGUGCAAUCCUUGGUACAUGAAACAAUGUGAAUGUGUAGCUUUUGCUUUUAAACUAUGGGGCUACAGCUCAUAGUAAUGAUAGUGUACUUUUUUUAAAAUCAUGUUCUGUCCAUUGCGAUAAGAUACCUCCUAGCCAUUAAUAAGUAUAAGAUAUCCACCAGAAUCUUGCAUAAUAUUGAGGUUCAUCUGUUACCUGAAACACACUUAUGCCUCACAGUGUCACAGACCACCCCCAUCCCACCCCACCCCACAUGAUCCUCUGUUUUGAUAUAUGCCUCAAUUAUCUUAUACUGAGAAUAAGGGUUGUAAUUAGUUAUGUGCACUAAUCCCACGUUUCCCAUUUGCUUUAAGUACGCCGUAAAACAGCGGUGGGUUUAAGGCAACUUGUGUCUUGUGUUCCCAUGCAUAAUCUAUGUUUUGUCAGUCAGCACUUCACAACUUCAUGACCUGAAAUAUGUCAAUGGACCAGAUCGGAAAAUACAAUGCCUAGAUACUGAUACUUGGUAACAGUCUUAUUAUCUGUCGUGGAGAAAUCCCUCCAAUCAAAGUAAAAAAAAAAAAACUUCCAGAGACCAGGAUUUAUGGAUGUCAAAAGAUAUUAAACUUUAUUUAAAACAAUAAAAUGAGGCAGUCUGCAGAAAGUCUGAAUUACAGACACACAAACAUGCCUUCAUAUACAGUAGGGAAAAUAAGUAUUGAAUGUGUCAAAAAAAUUUUCAGUAAAUAUAUUUCUGAUGAGGUUAUUCACAUGAACUUUCCACCAGACCUUGAUAUUAACUCAAGAAAUCAGGAAAUAUAAAGAAUUCACAACAUUAAAGUCCAUAAAUGAAGUUAUUUGUAAUACAGUGGAAUGACACAGGAAAAAAGUAUUGAACACACUAACGGAAAUUUAUUUAAUACUUAGUGGAGCAGCCUUUGUUUGUAAUGACAGCUUCAAGGGGGAACUUCUGGACUUGAACGUUGUGAAUUCUUUAUAUUUCCGGAUUUCUUGAGUUAAUACUGACGUCUGGUGAAAAUUUCAUGUGAAUAACCUCGUUGGAAAUAAAUUUACUGAAAAAAAUGUUGACACGUCCGAUACUUAUUUCCAGCACUGUACUUUUCUGACUCUUCUGAAUCUCUUCUCUCUAAAAACAAACCAAUCUCAGUCACCUUAAUUAAUUAUUCAUGUCUAUAUGAUAUCUUACAUUUGUGAUGCAUGUGCUGUCGGUUGGAUUUUUUUUGAAAGGUUUCAUCAGGACAGUUUUUACGCUGCCCCAAAAUUCAUCCUUAUACCUUAAUGAUUUUCUGGCUCUAAUCCCAGCAUGAUUCUCUUCCUCUUGAAGUCUUGUUAUUUUGACACUGGUUUGCAAGAUUAAAGGGCUUUGAUUGACAUUCA
Molecule: long non-coding RNA, 4454 nt
Organism: Ictalurus punctatus (channel catfish)
Lineage: Eukaryota; Metazoa; Chordata; Actinopteri; Siluriformes; Ictaluridae
Exons: 9
Source: RefSeq, a predicted model, not a curated record